RNAcentral lists this ribosomal RNA (612 nucleotides) under Kondoa sp. (in: rust fungi & allies). RNAcentral's name for it is "LSU rRNA". It matches the Rfam family "Eukaryotic large subunit ribosomal RNA", at positions 144 to 737 of the family's 3401-position model. Lineage: Eukaryota; Fungi; Basidiomycota; Agaricostilbomycetes; Agaricostilbales; Kondoaceae. The record is from RNAcentral.
UGUAGUCUAGAGAAGUGUUAUCCGCGCAGACCCUUAUAGAUUUCGGUUGGAAUGCCAAGUCAAAGAGGGUGAGAAUCCCGUAUUUGAUAAGGUGGUCUUGUGCAUUGUGAUACAUUUUCAAAGAGUCGAGUUGUUUGGGAAUGCAGCUCAAAGUGGGUGGUAAAUUCCAUCUAAAGCUAAAUAUUGGCGAGAGACCGAUAGCGAACAAGUACCGUGAGGGAAAGAUGAAAAGCACUUUGGAAAGAGAAUGAAAUAGUACCUGAAAUUGCUGAAAGGGAAACGAGUGAAGUUAGACUUGCGCAGUUGGUAUUCAGCCUUGGCUUCGGUCUUGGUGCAUUUGCCUUCUAUUGCAGGCCAACAUCAGUUUACUUUGCGGUAAAAGGGUUUGGGGAAUGUGGCUUCUUCGGGAGUGUUAUAGCCCUUUACUGGAUGCCGAAUCGUAGACUGAGGAACGCAGCGCGCCUUUAUGGCAAGGCUUUCAAGCCUCGAGCGCUUAGGAUGUUGGUAGAAUAGCUUUACACGACCCGUCUUGAAACACGGACCAAGGAGUCUAACAUGCUUGCGAGUGUUUGGGUGUCAAACCCGAGCGCGGAAUGAAAGUGAAUGCAGGUG